UACGUAGGGGGCAAGCGUUGUCCGGAAUCAUUGGGCGUAAAGCGCGCGUAGGCGGCCCGGUAAGUCCGCUCUGAAAGUCCAGGGCUUAACCCUGGAAAGCGGGUGGAUACUGCCGGGCUAGAAUCCGGAAGAGGCGAGUGGAAUUCCUGGUGUAGCGGUGGAAUGCGCAGAUAUCAGGAGGAACACCGGUGGCGAAGGCGGGUCUCUGGGCCGAUACUGACGCUGAGGAGCGAAAGCGUGGGGAGCGAACAGG
Molecule: ribosomal RNA, 253 nt
Filed under: uncultured bacterium
Lineage: Bacteria
Description: partial 16S ribosomal RNA
Rfam family: Bacterial small subunit ribosomal RNA
Source: RNAcentral